ACUUUAAAUCCCACUGAUUUCUAAAGAACUUCAGUAAAGAGCAGAUAUGAUCAAGCUAUGUGCGUUCUUUACGCGUGCCCGGUUCUAUUUGAUGCGGAACAUCUUUCAGUCAGAUCUGUCUGUUGGCCUGCCAGUAAGCAGCUGUAGUCGUACAGAGUUCGACUUAAGAGCGGACCAUCGUGAAACUGAGCUCCUACUGAGAUUUGAAGCCAAGACACCUUCGAGAUAACAGGUUCUCUGCCACUGCCUGCAGCCAAGUUCAACUAAUUUCUGUCUGAAGUGAGGAUUUGGUAUCUGAGAAUAAUGAAUGACCGUAAUGACGGAAACACGCUAAAUGAAAAUCUGUGUAUUCCAAGUAAAAAAAGAAAAAUUUCUACAACCAGUAUAAAUGAGUCUUUUCAUGUGCACUGAAAACUCCUCUGAAUUUAUGAAUGCUGGUAAGAUUUAAU
This is a long non-coding RNA of Stegodyphus dumicola, 449 nucleotides long. The record is from RefSeq and is a predicted model, not a curated record. NCBI's taxonomy places the organism in Eukaryota, Metazoa, Arthropoda, Arachnida, Araneae, Eresidae.